CGUCUGGAAAGCGGGUUGCAAGGUACCUGAAACACAAAGACAGAAAAGGCACAAUGUUAGUUACUUGUGUAACAAAAACGAACUUGAUCUUAACGUUUCUAAUGAUCUCAAAUAUAGCAAACAAACACCAAACUGGUAACGGUGCCAAAUUGAUAGUAGGAUUUUACUCAAUUAAUCCCUAAAACACUAUCUUGUCGUCGUAGUAUUUUAGGAUGUCAAUCCAAUCCGGUGUGAUGCAAACAGAUGAGAUAUGAUCAGAAAGCUCUAAGUCAAGCCAAGCAGAAAGUUGGUUGGUUCUAACAGUCCUAGUAUGCAAUAACAGAAAUGAAAUGAAACUAAAAGCAGGAAUGGCAAUAGCAGGCAAGUGAAUGACAAAGCAGAAAUGAUAAAGGGCAAUCAAAUGGAUAAACGAUUCCUAAGGAUGGGGGUAAUCGAAUAGUGUGGUCUACUUAAUCUAUUCAGGCGGUUGACAAAACUUCACAGAAGCUAUCCCUAGACAACAAGUUCAACAACAGAUUAAUUCACUCCCGUGAUAGAAAUCCUCAAGCAAAGCUAGACACUAACCUAAAUCCCUUUAGCGAUCUCUAACUAAGCAGGCAUUAUCGAAUCAACAUGUUAAAGUCAAUACCCUCUCUAUAGCCAAUCCCUUGGGGUAGAGUCAAAUAUCUCUGGAAUUAAUAGGAUCCAACGCCCAUUAAACGCCUUCUGAGUGCUAGACGUCUGGACUCAUACUCCACAUUAGCCAGUGAAAUAAGCAAUAAGCACAACUAAUCCAGAAGGGAUUCUAGAAUUCUAAACUCAACCACCUAAAAGGACCAAGUAAACCACAACUAUUCUAUCCUAUCCUCAGAAAUACAGUUCACUACUCAGACAUAAUCAAAGACAAUAACAAAGCAACAAUUGAAAACAUAAUAACAGAAAUGACGAAAGACUUAAACGAAAACUGAAUAUCAAAUACUUGAAAGCGAAACUACAAAGUCGCGGGAGAAACACUGCGGCUAUCAAAGUUGCGAAAAUGUAAAAGCGAGAUAAAAACGGAUAAUAGCGGAUGCCCUAGGGAAAACCCUAAGGGGCAGUUUAUAUAAGCGAGAAAUGAAACAAAUAAGGAAACUAAAUAUAUAGGGAAUCUUCACGUCAUGAUCCUGCGACCGAAUGUGUCAUUGGCAUUUGACGGGCUGAAAUGAGCUUCCUAGUGAUCGAGUAUGUCAUUGAUCAAACUGGGCUUUAGGGGCUCCGUCUUGCGAUUGAGUGAGAUGCAGUGAAGUCGAGAUUGAAUGGUCCAACAACCCUGUGAUCGAGUGGAUGUCAUGAGGUGGUGAUCGAGUGGUUUCUUCGGCUUCUCUUCUCUUCUUUGUUCUUAGCUUGUCUGGUUGAGUGCAGAAUGAGCAGAUAGGUUUCCUGGUGAUCGAGUGGUUCCGAUGGGGUGAUUCCUCCGGCUUCUCGAUUGAGUGAAACUGAGCUGCUUGCUUCUCCGGGGUUGCGAUAGAGUGAUUUGCCCUGGCAGGGCUCCGAGGAUGCGAUAGAGUACUUUUGUUGAAGGCGUCAUUGGGCAUUCUGACUUCAUGUUCUGUUUUUCCUCUGUUUAAACUCCAAAAGCAUCCAAAGUACCUGAAAACAACCAAAUAUGCCAUGCACAUGCAAUCCUAAUGCAAAAUCGUCCUAAGUAUGUAAAACACACUAAAACGACUCCUAAUGAGAUGAAAUGUGGAUGAAACAAUGACAAAGUGGUGAAGAAUGAAUGCCUAAAUCAUGCAAAUUAUAGACAUAUCAGUAGUAAGUUGGUCGAGUAAUUGUAAAAACUAAGAAACAGGCAAUGAGAACGAUUAAGCGAUAACGAUAAAACAGAGAAAUAAUAUAGACGAGAAAUUCCUAAGGAUGGGGUAAUCGAAUAGAGUGGUAUCCUAGCCUAUCCGAAUGGUUAACUAACGCAAUCAAGCUAUCCGUAGACAACAGGUUCAACAACAGAUCAAUUCACUCCCGUGAUAGAAAUCCUCAAGCAAAGCUAGCCCAGACUAAUUCCCAUUAACGGAAUCUAACUAUGCAAGCAAUAAGAAUAGACUGAUAAAGUCAAUAAACGCUCUAAACGGCCAAUCCCUUGGGAUAGAGACGAGUAUCUCAGGAACUAGUGGAUCAAGCAUUCCAUCGAACACCUUCUGGGUGCGGGAAUGCUUGGGAUCGAAUUCCAGUUGAUUAGAAAGAAAUAAGCAGUAAACGCAACUAGUCUUGAAGGGAUUCAAUCAAUUCUAAAACUUGACCAUUCUACAAACUAAGGAUUCCACAACUACUCUAUCCCAUCCCUAAGAAUUCUAAGUCACUACUCAGACAACAUGCUCAAAGAUAUAAACGCAGAUAAAUGAUAAUAUUGCAUAAGUAAAGAGAUAAAGAGUAGAGAAAAAGGAUGACAGAUGAAAUCAAAUGCGGAAUCUGAAUAACUUGGAAAAAUCUCGAAUUACAGGUUGCAGAAGCAAAAGCGGCGCAGUAGAGUAAAACAGAAAAUAAAACUGAAGCAAAAACUCAAUGUCGACUAGAUGUCAGGACAGAACCCUAAGACAUCUAUUUAUACAAAACGAAAUAAAAUGAUAGUAGACGGGCCAAUAACCUAAUCGUUUGGCCCAUAGAGUGAUAAUGGGCCAGAUGGGCUUCGUGAUCCGAUGGAGAUCCAGUUUGUCUGGUUGAGUGCAGAUUUGAGUAGACUGUGAAGAUGUGAUCGAGUGUCCGGUCGAGUGAUGGUGAUGGUGGUGAGUAAUGAUACUCGACCAGGGGGUCGAGUAACAUGGUAGAGUAAAUGGCCUAGUGUGGUCAGGUGGUGUGGCGAAGUGAUACUCGACCAGGGGGUCGAGUGGCGUCAUCGAGUGGCCUGAGCUGAGGAUACUCGAUCAGGGGGUCGAGUAGAUGGGAAGAAUGGCUCCAAAGUCACUUGACCUGGGGGUCGAGUAUGGUGCUGGAUGCACACGACCUGGUGGUCGAGUAUGUCUUCGGGUUCUCGCUCGUUUCUUCCAAUUUGCUCGCAAACAGCUCCAAAUUACCUGAAAACAACUCAAAAAUGCAAUAUGUAUGCAAAGCUAUCCGAAUCAUGCAAAGUAUGCAAGAAUUAUGAGAAAUGAUAUAAAACAAUGAUGAAUAAUACGAAAUUGGACUCAAAACGAUGAUGAAUGGACAUUGAAAACAUGCAAAUUAUAGACAUAUCACACUCGACCCCCUGGUCGGUUAGAGGACAUCACUACUUCACCACAUCACUCGACCCCGAU
Molecule: small RNA, 3248 nt
Filed under: Arabidopsis thaliana (thale cress)
Lineage: Eukaryota; Viridiplantae; Streptophyta; Magnoliopsida; Brassicales; Brassicaceae
Description: ATSL204630
Source: RNAcentral